CUCUGUAGUUUUCCAUUCUCAAAUAACACUACAUUUGAAAAGAAGACUCUGGUUUCAGACCUGAUUCUUGAUAGCCAGCCUGUGUAUUUCCACUGAAUGUGCAGGAGCCAGUUGUUGGUGUUGUGAAAGGAAGGAGAGAAAAUGUUGUAGUCUCCAGCCAUCAUCACCCCCCUGACUGCUGCAGUCACCUGGAGGUUGUUUGGUUCUGAC
RNAcentral lists this long non-coding RNA (210 nucleotides) under Gallus gallus (chicken). The record is from RNAcentral. Lineage: Eukaryota; Metazoa; Chordata; Aves; Galliformes; Phasianidae.